RNAcentral lists this ribosomal RNA (515 nucleotides) under uncultured bacterium. Its description in RNAcentral is "partial 16S ribosomal RNA". It matches the Rfam family "Bacterial small subunit ribosomal RNA", at positions 28 to 523 of the family's 1533-position model. The record is from RNAcentral.
GAUGAACGCUGGCGGCGUGCCUAAUACAUGCAAGUCGAGCGAAUGGAUUAAGAGCUUGCUCUUAUGAAGUUAGCGGCGGACGGGUGAGUAACACGUGGGUAACCUGCCCAUAAGACUGGGAUAACUCCGGGAAACCGGGGCUAAUACCGGAUAACAUUUUGAACCGCAUGGUUCGAAAUUGAAAGGCGGCUUCGGCUGUCACUUAUGGAUGGACCCGCGUCGCAUUAGCUAGUUGGUGCGGUAACGGCUCACCAAGGCAACGAUGCGUAGCCGACCUGAGAGGGUGCUCGGCCACACGGGGACUGGGACACGGCCCAGACUCCUGCGGGAGGCAGCAGUAGGGAAUCUUCCGCAAUGGACGAAAGUCUGACGGAGCAACGCCGCGUGAGUGAUGAAGGCUUUCGGGUCGUAAAACUCUGUUGUUAGGGAAGAACAAGUGCUAGUUGAAUAAGCUGGCACCUUGACGGUACCUAACCAGAAAGCCACGGCUAACUACGUGCCAGCCGCCGCGGUAA